AUGUUAGAAGUCAGAGGUAUCUCAUCCAUCUUGGUGAUGUGGCUGGGCGCGGUUAUGUUGUCACGGCAGAUGGCCACCCUCUCCUGGUUAGGGUUAGGGUUAGGGUUAGGGUUAGGGAAGAUGGCCACCCUCUCCUGGUUAGGGUUAGGGAAGAUGGCCGCCCUCUCCUGGUUAGGGUUAGGGUUAGGGAAGAUGGCUGCCCUCUCCUGGUUAGGGUUAGGGUUAGGGAAGAUGGCCACCCUCUCCUGGUUAGGGUUAGGGAAGAUGGCCACCCUCUCCUGGUUAGGGUUAGGGUUAGGGAAGAUGGCCACCCUCUCCUGGUUAGGGUUAGGGUUAGGGAAGAUGGCCACCCUCUCCUGGUUAGGGUUAGGGAAGAUGGCCACCCUCUCCUGGUUAGGGUUAGGGUUAGGGAAGAUGGCUGCCCUCUCCUGGUUAGGGUUAGGGUUAGGGUUAGGGAAGAUGGCUGCCCUCUCCUGGUUAGGGUUAGGGAAGAUGGCCGCCCUCUCCUGGUUAGGGUUAGGGUUAGGGAAGAUGGCCGCCCUCUCCUGGUAAUCCGCGGGCAGCCGCUGUGCAACAGUUGUCCUCGUGCGUAUGGAGUAAAAAGAUGCUGCCUCCUCAUAAAGCGAAAACACUAAGAUUGCUCGAUUGCCAUAUUCAGCCGCAUAUUUGAUGGCCUGCAGUUUAAAGUAAGCCUCAUUCAUACGCGUCUCGCUUGAACGGCACCAUUUUAGGGGAUCCUUACGCGUAGGUGUGCCGCUAAUCGAUUGGCGGAGCGUUUACCGUAGUGCACCCACCAAAGGGGCACAGCAGAUUUUGGAACUCAGUCCACACACAAGGCGCACCGUCGAUUUUUGAGAAAAUCUCAGUGUUUUAGGCGCCUUAUAGUCGUGAAAAUACGAUACGUUCUGAGAGGAGUCCUCAUGUGGUCCACAUGGGGGCGCUGUUGGACUUCUACUGGUGUGUGAGAACUCACACACCUAACCCUAAGUGACCAUAGAAUAAGCCCCCCCCCCCCCCCCCACACACACACACACACAC
Molecule: long non-coding RNA, 1038 nt
Filed under: Takifugu rubripes (torafugu)
Lineage: Eukaryota; Metazoa; Chordata; Actinopteri; Tetraodontiformes; Tetraodontidae
Description: lncRNA (ENSTRUG00000033120.1)
Source: RNAcentral